RNAcentral lists this ribosomal RNA (303 nucleotides) under uncultured bacterium. Its description in RNAcentral is "partial 16S ribosomal RNA". It matches the Rfam family "Bacterial small subunit ribosomal RNA", at positions 507 to 807 of the family's 1533-position model. The record is from RNAcentral.
AGCAGUCGCCGCGGUAAUACGGAGGGUGCAAGCGUUAAUCGGAAUUACUGGGCGUAAAGCGCACGCAGGCGGUCUGACAAGUCAGAUGUGAAAUCCCCGGGCUUAACCUGGGAACUGCAUUUGAAACUGUCAGGCUGGAGUCUUGUAGAGGGGGGUGGAAUUCCAGGUGUAGCGGUGAAAUGCGUAGAGAUCUGGAGGAAUACCGGUGGCGAAGGCGGCCCCCUGGACAAAGACUGACGCUCAGGUGCGAAAGCGUGGGGAGCAAACAGGAUUAGAUACCCCGGUAGUCCCUGUCUCUUAUAC